Molecule: non-coding RNA, 789 nt
Filed under: Aedes alboannulatus
Lineage: Eukaryota; Metazoa; Arthropoda; Insecta; Diptera; Culicidae
Source: RNAcentral
UUAUUUUAUUUUGGUUAAUAAUUUUAUUAUUAUUUUAUUUUACAUGUAAAUUUUUGUAUGAAUUAAUUUAAUUUUUAAAAGAUUAAAUGGAUUUUAUUUAUUCGCAGUAAUUAAUAUUAAUUAAAAAAAGAAAUUUUGUGUUAGUAAUAAUAUAUAGUAUUGGUAAAAUUUGUGCCAGCUACCGCGGUUAUACAAAUAAUGCAAGUAAAAUUUUUUAGUAUUAGUUAAAUUAAAAAAUUUAAUAAUAUAAAUAUAAAUUUAUUAGGUGAAAUUUUUAAAUUUAUUUAUUUAUUAUUUAAAAAAUUAAUUUAAGCUAUAAACUUUUUAUAAUAAACUAGGAUUAGAUACCCUAUUAUUGAAAAUAAAUAUUUAAAUGCUAAAGUAGUAUUAGUUAUAUUCUUAAAAUUUAAAAAAUUUGGCGGUGUUUUAGUCUAUUUAGAGGAAUCUGUCCUGUAAUUGAUAAUCCACAUUGAACCUUACUUAAAUUUGUUUAAUUUAUAUAUCGCCGUCAUCAGAAUAUGUUAUAAGAUGAAAAUUUUCUUAAUAUUUAAUUAAAUAAAAUGUCAGGUCAAGGUGUAGUUUAUAUUUAAGUAGAGAUGGAUUACAAUAAAUUUAUUUAAACGGAUAAUUUUUUGAAAUAGAAAUUUGAAGGUGGAUUUAAUAGUAAUAUAAAAUAGAUUAUUUAUAUGAUUUUAGCUCUAAAACAUGUACAUAUCGCCCAUCGUUCUUAUUUUUAAAAUAAGAUAAGUUGUAACAUAGUAGAUGUACUGGAAAGUGUAUCUAGAAAGA